This 500-nucleotide ribosomal RNA is filed under the name uncultured bacterium. RNAcentral describes it as "bacterial SSU rRNA". It matches the Rfam family "Bacterial small subunit ribosomal RNA", at positions 58 to 545 of the family's 1533-position model. The record is from RNAcentral.
CAAGUCGAGGGGCAGCAUUUUAGUUUGCUUGCAAACUAAAGAUGGCGACCGGCGCACGGGUGAGUAACACGUAUCCAACCUGCCGAUAACUCGGGGAUAGCCUUUCGAAAGAAAGAUUAAUAUCCGAUAGUAUAUUAAAACCGCAUGGUUUUACUAUUAAAGAAUUUCGGUUAUCGAUGGGGAUGCGUUCCAUUAGUUUGUUGGCGGGGUAACGGCCCACCAAGACUACGAUGGAUAGGGGUUCUGAGAGGAAGGUCCCCCACAUUGGAACUGAGACACGGUCCAAACUCCUACGGGAGGCAGCAGUGAGGAAUAUUGGUCAAUGGACGAGAGUCUGAACCAGCCAAGUAGCGUGAAGGAUGACUGCCCUAUGGGUUGUAAACUUCUUUUAUAUGGGAAUAAAGUAUUCCACGUGUGGAAUUUUGUAUGUACCAUAUGAAUAAGGAUCGGCUAACUCCGUGCCAGCAGCCCGCGGUAUACGGAGGAUCCCGAGCGUUAUC